UUUACUCUCUGGCUGCUGCUACUACUUCUUGUAUUCUCAAAAAAAAACUUUUUUUUCAAUUGAAACUUACUUGUCCCAUCUUUCUACCUGCUGCUGCUAUUACUACUGCUAUGGUUUCUUUUUUUAUAUUCACUUAUCUUAAUCCUAAAUCUACUCAGGAAGCUCGUACUCCCUUUUUCACUAAGUCUGCUGAUGUUGCUGCUUCUUCUAGUUCUAACUCUAACUCAAACUAAGUCUGCUAAUGUUAAACCUAGAUCUACUCAUGAAACACAUAGUACUUCUUCUCUCCUCACUAAGUCCGCUGAUGAUGCUGCUACUACUGCUGUUGUUACUUUUUCUAACUCAACAACUAACUCUCUUUACCGUUUCAUUACUUAAUCUACAUUUUUUCGUGAAAAAAUUAGUAAUCUGAUUCAUCCUCCUCCCAACUCUGACAAGGAAGAUCUUUCUUCUCUUAAAAAAAAAUUCGAGAAUUUGAAUAAUAACCAUGAAACUGUUGUUAACGAGCUUCAACAAUUGGAAACUAAAUAUUCACUUGACCAAUUGAAGUGGGACAGGGAAAAUAAAUAUUUAAACGACCAACUUGACUCGGUCAGUUCACUCAUGAAACUCCUUUUUUUUUUUUUUUUUUUUUUUCAAAAUUUGAUUUUUACGUGUGUUGUUUUUUCAUUAUAGAAAUUUAAUUGUUUUAAUAUUUUUUUAAUUACAGUUGAAGCACG
Molecule: long non-coding RNA, 719 nt
Filed under: Aquilegia coerulea
Lineage: Eukaryota; Viridiplantae; Streptophyta; Magnoliopsida; Ranunculales; Ranunculaceae
Description: long non-coding RNA (ACOE_LNC001411)
Source: RNAcentral